RNAcentral lists this ribosomal RNA (264 nucleotides) under uncultured bacterium. RNAcentral describes it as "partial 16S ribosomal RNA". It matches the Rfam family "Bacterial small subunit ribosomal RNA", at positions 793 to 1055 of the family's 1533-position model. The record is from RNAcentral.
GUCCACGCUGUAAACGAUGGCAACUGGGUGUCUCGGGUAUUGACCCCCGAUGCGCCGAAGUCAACACGUUAAGUUGCCCGCCUGGGAAGUACGGCCGCAAGGCUAAAACUCAAAGGAAUUGACGGGGCCCGCACAAGCGGUGGAGCAUGUGGUUUAAUUCGACGCAACGCGAAGAACCUUACCUGGACUCGAAAAUGCAGGAAGUUGGCUGAAAGGCUGAUGUGCUCGCAAGAGAGCCUGUAUCAGGUGCUGCAUGGCUGUCGU